UAUGUAUGUGUGCAUGUAUAUGUGAUACAUGUAUAGAUGUAUAAACAUACAUAGACGUACAUAUGCAUAUAUAUCACA
RNAcentral lists this microRNA precursor (78 nucleotides) under Ictidomys tridecemlineatus (thirteen-lined ground squirrel). Its description in RNAcentral is "miRNA (ENSSTOG00000023317.1)". Lineage: Eukaryota; Metazoa; Chordata; Mammalia; Rodentia; Sciuridae. The record is from RNAcentral.